AUGAAUGAAUGGACAGCUAUAUACAGACUCUAUCCGCCCUCCCUCCCUGGCUCCGGACCUGCUCGGGGGGGGGGGAGGGGGGAAUGGACCAAGCUGGGACCCAGCCAGAACCAUCCGACCCUUUCCUUCUGUUUUUCAUCCCAGUCUAUCAAGGCCGAGUUCGGCUCAUUCAUUCGUUCACUCAGUCAAUUGUAUUUAUUAUUGUUAUUAAUAAUAAUAAUAAUAAUGGUAUUUGUUAAGCACUUACUAUGUGUACACUGUUUUAAGCACUGGGGUAGAUACAAGAUAAUCAGGUUGUUCCACCUGGGGCUCAGUCUUCAUCCCCAUUUUACAGAUGAGGUAACUGAAGCCCAGAGAAGUAAAGUGUCUUGCCCAAGGUCACAGAGCAGACAAGUGGUGGACCUGGGAUUCUCCAUUUACACUCACUCCCUCGGUGAACUCAUUCGCUCUCACGGCUUUGACUACCAUCUCUACGCAGAUGACACGCAGAUCUACAUCUCCGCCCCUGUCCUCUCCCCCUCCCUUCGGGCUCGCAUCUCCUCCUGCCUCCGGGACGUCUCCACCUGGAUGUCGGCCCGCCACCUAAAACUCAACAUGAGCGAGACUGAGCUCCUCAUCUUCCCUCCCAAACCCGGUCCUCUCCCAGACUUCUCUAUCACCGUGGAUGGCACGACCAUCCUUCCCGUCUCUCGGGCCCGCGAUCUCGGUGUCAUCCUUGACUCGUCCCUCUCGUUCACCCCACACAUCCUAUCCGUUACCGAGACCUGCCGGUUUCACCUCUACAAUAUCGCCAAGAUCCGCCCUUUCCUCUCCACCCAAACGGCUACCUUACUAUUACGGGCUCUCGUUAUAUCCCGGCUAGACUACUGUGUCAGCCUUCUCUCUGACCUCCCUUCCUCCUCUCUCGCCCCGCUCCGGUCUAUUCUUCACUCCGCUGCCCGGCUCAUCUUCCCGCAGAAACGAUCUGGGCAUGUCACUCCCCUUCUUAAACAACUCCAGUGGUUGCCUAUCGACCUCCGCUCCAAACAAAAACUCCUCACUCUAGGCUUCAAGGCUCUCCAUCACCUUGCCCCUUCCUACCUCUCCUCCCUUCUCUCUUUCUACCGCCCACCCCGCACGCUCCGCUCCUCCGCCGCCCACCUCCUCACCAUCCCUCGGUCUCGCCUAUCCCGCCGUCGACCCCUGGGUCACGUCCUCCCGCGGUCCUGGAACGCCCUCCCUCCUCACCUCCGCCAAACUGAUUCUCUUUCCCUCUUCAAAACCCUACUUAAAAAUCACCUCCUCCAAGAGGCGUUCCCAGACUGA
This 1305-nucleotide long non-coding RNA is filed under the name Ornithorhynchus anatinus (platypus). Its description in RNAcentral is "lncRNA (ENSOANG00000049144.1)". The record is from RNAcentral. Lineage: Eukaryota; Metazoa; Chordata; Mammalia; Monotremata; Ornithorhynchidae.